UACGUAGGGUGCAAGCGUUGUCCGGAAUUAUUGGGCGUAAAGAGCUCGUAGGCGGUUUGUUGCGUCGGCUGUGAAAUCCCGAGGCUCAACCUCGGGUCUGCAGUCGAUACGAGCAAACUAGAGUGUUGCAGGGGAGACUGGAAUUCCUGGUGUAGCGGUGAAAUGCGCAGAUAUCAGGAGGAACACCGGUGGCGAAGGCGGGUCUCUGGGCGACAACUGACGCUGAGGAGCGAAAGCGUGGGGAGCGAACAGG
RNAcentral lists this ribosomal RNA (253 nucleotides) under uncultured bacterium. RNAcentral's name for it is "partial 16S ribosomal RNA". It matches the Rfam family "Bacterial small subunit ribosomal RNA", at positions 524 to 776 of the family's 1533-position model. The record is from RNAcentral.